GACGAACGCUGGCGGCGUGCUUAACACAUGCAAGUCGAACGGAAAGGCCCUGCUUGCAGGGUACUCGAGUGGCGAACGGGUGAGUAACACGUGGGUGAUCUGCCCUUCACUUCGGGAUAAGCCUGGGAAACUGGGUCUAAUACCGGAUAGGAGCCAUUUUUAGUGUGAUGGUUGGAAAGUUUUUUCGGUGUAGGAUGAGCUCACGGCCUAUCAGCUUGUUGGUGGGGUAAUGGCCUACCAAGGCGGCGACGGGUAGCCGGCCUGAGAGGGUGGACGGCGACAAGAGGACUGAGAGACGGACCAGAAGCGUAUGGGAGGCAGCAGAGGGGAGUAUGGCACAAUGGGGGCAAGUGAGAGGAAGCGAUGCCGCGUGGGUGAUGACGGGCUGUAGGUGGUGAACGACUGUGGGUAGGGAAGAAUCAUUUUGUGACGGUACCUAGAUAAGAAGCACCGGCUAACUACGUG
RNAcentral lists this ribosomal RNA (465 nucleotides) under uncultured bacterium. RNAcentral's name for it is "partial 16S ribosomal RNA". It matches the Rfam family "Bacterial small subunit ribosomal RNA", at positions 28 to 507 of the family's 1533-position model. The record is from RNAcentral.